Molecule: long non-coding RNA, 3074 nt
Filed under: Homo sapiens (human)
Lineage: Eukaryota; Metazoa; Chordata; Mammalia; Primates; Hominidae
Description: SMIM14 divergent transcript, transcript variant 1 (SMIM14-DT)
Source: RNAcentral
GAGGACUGUGAAGCAAUCGGGGCGAGGCCGGGUGUCUGUUCAACUCUCCCGCGUAUCGUCUGUUUCUUCGGCGGCGGACAGUGUUCUGUAAUGUGUCUCCCGUUGCCCGAGCUAAAGGUUUUCCUCGACGGAGUCUUUAGAAUACCGUGGUAGAGGCAGUCUCCACACCACUGUGCUCGAACAGCUCUAUGAAGAGGCCUAUGUGGAGAGGAGAAAAAGCCUCCACCAACAGCCAGCACCAACUUGCCAGCCAUAUAUGAACUCUCGCUAUGUUGCCUCGGCUGGUCUCAAACUCCUGGGCUCAAGUGAUCCUCCCACUUCGGCCUCCCAAAAUGGCGUCUUGCUCUGUCACCCAGGCUGGGGUGCAGUGGUGUGAUCUCAGCUCACUGCAACCUCUGCCUCCUGGGUUCAAGCAAUUCUUCUGCCUCAGCCUCCCAAAGAGCUGUGAUUACAGACGUGUGCCACAAUACCCGGCUAAGUUUUGUAUUUUUAUUAUUAUUUUAUUUAUGUGUUUAUUUAUUUAUUUAUUUAUUUAUUUUGAGAUGGAGUCUUGCUGUGUCGCCCAGGGUGGAGUGCAGUGGUGCGAUCUCUGCUCGCUGCAGCCUCUGCCCCCCAGGCGAUUCUCCUGCCUCAGCCUCCCGAGUAGCUGGGAUUACAGGUGCCCGCCACCAUACCCGGCUAAUUUUUGUAUUUUUAGUAAAGACAGGGUUUUGCCAUGUUGGCCAGGCUGAUCUCGAACUCCUGACCUCAAGUGAUCUGUCUGCCUUGGCCUCCCAAGGCAGGGAGCCUGCUGGGAUUACAGGCAUGAGCCACCACGCCCAGUCAAAAUGUUUUAAAUGUUUCUAUACCACCAUCUGUGUCAAAGAGCAAAUGGUCUCUCUGCAGCUGGAACAACAAAAACUCAAAUGGUCCACACAGUGGUUCAUACCUAUAAGUCACCAAACCUAAACUAAGUUGUUAUCUGACCUUCUGGAAAUGAGAAGAGAUAGAUAACUGCCAGUUUCCCAAACAGGCCAGUUUAAAUCUUCCUGUAAGCAUGAUAAGGAAGUUCCCUCUGAUUUAAUCCUUACACACGAAAAAGUAGCCUUAAAUAACCUGAUAUUAACUCAUCAGUUUUAUUUUUAUUUAUUUAUUUUUUUUUGAGACAAUGUCUUGCUCUGUCACCCAGGCUGGAGUGCAGUGGCACAAUCUCGGCUCACUGCAAUCUCCGCCUCCCGGGUUCACGCCAUUCUCCUGCCUCAGCCUCCCGAGUAGCUGGGACUACAGGUGCCUGCCACCACACCCGGCUAAUUUUUGUAUUCUUAGUAGAGAUGGGGUUUCACCGUGUUAGCCAGGAUGGUCUCGAUCUCCUGACCUUGUGAUCCACCCCCCUCGGCCUCCCAAAGUGCUGGGAUUACAGGUGUGAGCCACCGCGCCUGGCCACUCAUCAGUUAUUUUUCUAUCAUUUUGUCUUUCUGUCCCCACUUUACAAGAAAAGUGACUUUGAAAGGACUAAUAACAUUAUUCGUUUUUUGCUUCUGCUUUCUUCAGCCCUUCUCUGUCUGUAAAGCCAGCUUCUUUUGCACAGCUCACUGCAACACUUAUUUUUAUUUGUAUUUUUAUUUUUUGAGACAAUGUCUCACUCUGUCACCCGGGCUGGAGAGUGGAGAGUACUAAUGCAGUCUUGGCCCACUGCACCUUCACCCUCCUCAACUCAAGCAAUCUUCCUGCCUCAACUUCCCUGGCAGCCAGGACUACAGGCUUGCACCACUAUACCCAGCUAAUUUUUAAAAUUUUUUUUUUUGUAGAGACAGGGUCUUGCUAUGUGGGCCAGACUGGUCUCAAACUCCUGGCCUCAAGGGAUCCUUCUUCCUUGGCCUGCCAAAGUGCUGGGAUAGAAUAAGUGUGCCGGGGCCACCAUGCCCAGGCCACCACACCUGGCCCACUUAUUCUAUUUUAUGGAAUGAAGUGUUACCCAAUUCUGGCUUUUUUUGAGACAGGGUCGUGCACCGUUGCUCAGGCGGGAAUGCAGUGGCACGAUCUUGGAACACUCCAACCUCCACCUCCAAGGCUCAAGCCAUCUUCCCACCUCAGCCUCCCGAGUAGCUGGGGCCACAGGCGUGUGCCACCACAUCCAGCUAAUUUUUGUAUUUUUUGUAGAGAUGGGGUUUUGCCAUGUUGCCCAGGCUGGUUUGGUCUCAAACUCCUGGUCUCAAGCCAUCCACCCACCUUGGUCUCCCAAAGUGCUGGGAUUACAGAUGUGAACCAACAUGUCCAGCCUUUUUUUUUUUUUGAGACAAAUUCUGGCUCUGUCACCCAGACUGGAGUGCAGUGGUGCCAUCUUGGCUCACUGCAACCUCCACCUCCGAGGCUCAAGCAAUUCUCUCACCCCAGCCUCCUGAGUAGCUAGGACCACAGGUGCUCACCACCACGCCUGGUUAACUUUUGUGUUUUUUGUAGAGAUGGGGUUUUGCCAUGUUUCCUAUGCUGGUCUGGAACUCAUGAACUCAACAGAUUGUCCCACCUCAGCCUCUCAAAGUGCUGGGAUUACAGCUCAAAGCACCUGUCAUAAAAAUAUUAACUUGUAAUAAAAGUGUUUAGUAACACUAAUAUGUGAUGGCAAUUUCAGGAAAGUCAAUGUUCUGAGCAAGAAGAACAAGGAACAGAAGGUAUAAUGAUAACAGAUGAGAGAGGAAAAAGCAGACUCAAUCAACUCCUACUUUUCCAUCAUUUUUCCGUUACAGAGAAUUAUCCUCAAAUUAGAAGGAGUAGGACCUACAUGGUAAAGAAAAAAUUUACGUGCAAGGCAGAUGAGGAAGUAAGAGAGCAUCCAGCCCCUUCACACAACUUCAUUCUCUGUCUUACCGAAAGAAUGUGAAAUGUGGUGGUAGCUUUACUGGGGACAGGAGAGGUGCCAGAAGUUUGAAGAUGGACUAAUCUCCUUGUUUUCUAAAAGAAGAACCUAUAAGUCUCUGAGCACAUUUUUCUUUGGCAAAAUUCUGGAAUGGAUAAUUAGACAAAUGGUUUGUGAAUCUUUAGAAAAGUGGCAAAAACAAGGCACAGCAUAAAUUCACUAAAAAAUAAGUGGACCUAAA